AAGUCGUAACAAGGUUUCCGUAGGUGAACCUGCGGAAGGAUCAUUAACGAGUAACUGCGCAGGUUGUCGCUGGCCUCUCGGGGCAUGUGCACGCCUGGCUCAAUCCACUCUUUAACCUCUGUGCACCUGUUGUAGGUCGGUGGAAAAGAGGUACGAGCGCAAGCUUGUACUUGUUGGAAGCCUUCCUAUGUUUUAUUACAAACGCUUCAGUUUAAGAAUGUCAUCUCUGCGUAUAACGCAAUUAUAUACAACUUUCAGCAACGGAUCUCUUGGCUCUC
Molecule: unclassified non-coding RNA, 278 nt
Filed under: Phanerochaete sp.
Lineage: Eukaryota; Fungi; Basidiomycota; Agaricomycetes; Polyporales; Phanerochaetaceae
Description: partial internal transcribed spacer region
Rfam family: Eukaryotic small subunit ribosomal RNA (bases 1-46)
Source: RNAcentral